This 69-nucleotide transfer RNA is filed under the name Ictidomys tridecemlineatus (thirteen-lined ground squirrel). RNAcentral's name for it is "Spermophilus tridecemlineatus (thirteen-lined ground squirrel) tRNA". It matches the Rfam family "tRNA". From Rfam's summary of the family: Transfer RNA (tRNA) molecules are approximately 80 nucleotides in length. Their secondary structure includes four short double-helical elements and three loops (D, anti-codon, and T loops). The record is from Rfam by way of RNAcentral. Lineage: Eukaryota; Metazoa; Chordata; Mammalia; Rodentia; Sciuridae.
GGAGUUGUAGCUUAGUGGUAGAGCACUCGCCUUGCAUGUGGAAAGCACUAGGUUCUAUCCUCAGCACCA